This 74-nucleotide transfer RNA is filed under the name Rhodeus cyanorostris. Its description in RNAcentral is "tRNA-Thr". It matches the Rfam family "tRNA". From Rfam's summary of the family: Transfer RNA (tRNA) molecules are approximately 80 nucleotides in length. Their secondary structure includes four short double-helical elements and three loops (D, anti-codon, and T loops). Lineage: Eukaryota; Metazoa; Chordata; Actinopteri; Cypriniformes; Acheilognathidae. The record is from RNAcentral.
GCAUUAGUAGCUUAAUCUUAAAAAGCAUCGGUCUUGUAAUCCGAAGAUCGAGGGUUUAACCCCCUCCUAGUGCC